RNAcentral lists this long non-coding RNA (561 nucleotides) under Cyclopterus lumpus (lumpfish). RNAcentral describes it as "lncRNA (ENSCLMG00005007802.1)". The record is from RNAcentral. Lineage: Eukaryota; Metazoa; Chordata; Actinopteri; Perciformes; Cyclopteridae.
GACUUGAUAGACUGGCGUCAGUUUCUGCUGAGCGCUGCCCUCCCUUGGCCGGUUCCCUCCUUAUCACAGCUGCUGGUCGUGCUCCAACGUUUCAAGGCAGCAGAUACUGGCAACACAGGCUAUGUUAACGAGGACCAGUACCUACAGACAGAGUUGUGGUUUUCCAAUGAGAGUGUCCAGCCCGUCCCAGAUGACCCCUCUGAGCCUCUGCCUUAUGACCGCCUGGCUAACCUACGCAAGUUCUUUUUCCAGUUGUUUGCGGACCGCUCCUCUUUCUCUCCCCCUCGACUGGACUAUGUGUGCAUGCUGCAGUACUUUGCGGCCGACCCUAACCCCAGACAGGGCUUCAUCAGAGCACUCAGUGUGGUGCUGGGACAACAUCUCAAGGACUCCUCCCCGGGCCAUCUUGUCAAGUCUAUGCCCAGUAUUGAAGAGGCUGCCGAGCUCAUCUCCUCGAACCUCGAUGGAGACGACAAGGAAGAAGACACUCCGUGUGCAUGGAGCGGCUCGUUGGGGGAGCAGGAGGUGUCCGUCAAUGCUCUCCUUGCUGUCAUCUGCCAC